RNAcentral lists this ribosomal RNA (798 nucleotides) under uncultured Porphyromonadaceae bacterium. RNAcentral's name for it is "bacterial SSU rRNA". It matches the Rfam family "Bacterial small subunit ribosomal RNA", at positions 8 to 795 of the family's 1533-position model. Lineage: Bacteria; Pseudomonadati; Bacteroidota; Bacteroidia; Bacteroidales; Porphyromonadaceae. The record is from RNAcentral.
AGAGUUUGAUUAUGGCUCAGGAUGAACGCUAGCGAUAGGCCUAACACAUGCAAGUCGAGGGGCAGCACAUGAAGUAGCAAUACGGAUGGUGGCGACCGGCGCACGGGUGAGUAACGCGUAUGCAACCUGCCUACAACAGGGGAAUAACCCGUUGAAAGACGGACUAAUACCCCAUAACACAGGGAUCCCGCAUGGGAAUAUUUGUUAAAGAUUUAUCGGUUGUAGAUGGGCAUGCGUUCCAUUAGCUUGUUGGUGAGGUAACGGCUCACCAAGGCAACGAUGGAUAGGGGAACUGAGAGGUUUAUCCCCCACACUGGUACUGAGACACGGACCAGACUCCUACGGGAGGCAGCAGUGAGGAAUAUUGGUCAAUGGACGCAAGUCUGAACCAGCCACGUCGCGUGAAGGAAGACGGCCCUACGGGUUGUAAACUUCUUUUGUAAGGGAAUAAAGUGUAGUACGUGUACUAUUUUGCAUGUACCUUACGAAUAAGGAUCGGCUAACUCCGUGCCAGCAGCCGCGGUAAUACGGAGGAUCCGAGCGUUAUCCGGAUUUAUUGGGUUUAAAGGGUGCGCAGGCGGGAGAUUAAGCCGGCGGUGAAAUUUUGCAGCUCAACUGUAAAAGUGCCUUCGAAACUGGUUUCUUUGAGUGUGGAUGAAGUAGGCGGAAUUUGUGGUGUAGCGGUGAAAUGCAUAGAUAUCACGAGGAACUCCGAUUGCGCAGGCAGCUUACUAAACCAUAACUGACGCUCAGGCACGAAGGCGUGGGGAUCAAACAGGAUUAGAUACCCUGGUAGUC